Molecule: ribosomal RNA, 435 nt
Filed under: Bacillus subtilis
Lineage: Bacteria; Bacillati; Bacillota; Bacilli; Caryophanales; Bacillaceae
Description: bacterial SSU rRNA
Rfam family: Bacterial small subunit ribosomal RNA
Source: RNAcentral
GCAAUGGACGAAAGUUCUGACGGAGCAACGCCGCGUGAGUGAUGAAGGUUUUUCGGAUCGUAAAGCUCUGUUGUUAGGGAAGAACAAGUACCGUUCGAAUAGGGCGGUACCUUGACGGUACCUAACCAGAAAGCCACGGCUAACUACGUGCCAGCAGCCGCGGUAAUACGUAGGUGGCAAGCGUUGUCCGGAAUUAUUGGGCGUAAAGGGCUCGCAGGCGGUUUCUUAAGUCUGAUGUGAAAGCCCCCGGCUCAACCGGGGAGGGUCAUUGGAAACUGGGGAACUUGAGUGCAGAAGAGGAGAGUGGAAUUCCACGUGUAGCGGUGAAAUGCGUAGAGAUGUGGAGGAACACCAGUGGCGAAGGCGACUCUCUGGUCUGUAACUGACGCUGAGGAGCGAAAGCGUGGGGAGCGAACAGGAUUAGAUACCCUGGUA